UUGUCUUUAACUGAUAGAUGCAAUGCUAGGGUUCUUAAAAAAAAUCAUAUUUGUUUAAAAAAAAAAUUAUUUUAAUUAUGAAAAAUGUAGGACCUACAAUGCCUAUUUAUAUUCUCUAUUCCUAAUACCACCUGUAGAUGGCGCCAUAGCUUUUGGACAUUCUUGGGUUUCUCUGCAGCUAAAGAAUGGACUUCAACAAUUUAUUUAUUUAUUUUUGUGUGUAAAUUGAUGCAAACCAAGGAUGACAAUGUUAUACAUGUAUACACGGAAAAACAUAAAAUAAAAAAUAUUUGGAAGAUUUAUGACGUUGAUGACCGUUGAAACGCACGUCAUCACGUCAGGCCAGCUGUGAGGGAGGGAAGUCGAAGCAGCUCGAGAAAGUUGGCGCUUUUAUCAGAUCGUUUGUUUGGAGUCUCUGUUUGUUCCAACCAUUGUGUUCCUUCAUGCUCCUCCAGAGACUACUAUCCGGAUUGUCCGUGCCAGUGUUGUGACUCUUGCAUCUUUCACCGUGUAAUGUUGUCCGGGGCCCGAGGAGUUCUUACAAACAGAUUGAUGGCAACAAUGUACAUGGAUGGUUCAGGGGUGAAGAAGGCCUUUAAAAAACACGGCUAUGUUGUGUUAUAAUAGGUGGCAAUUGCAUCAGAGGGAGAAGACUUCACAGUGCCUCCCUAUACAUGGAUGUCAGCUGACGUCAAUCACUUGUCUUCCGCCAUUUUGAGGACCUGAAGUGGUCGCAAAAGAACUAGAAGCUAUGCCUUCAAUAUGCUGUGAGCAUCAAAAUCGCUAUUUUAACAACACUAAGAAGGCUCAACACAACAUGAUAUUUUGCUCGAAGUAUCGCCUAUGUCUCUACACGUGAACUCGAGCAUUGAGAACAUUGUUUGUGAACACAGAGUUAACUAAAAAGAAGGUUUUGAACAACUCACUUUGGAUGAUUUGGCGUCCGCUCGCCGCUUUCUUCCCAGUCAAGAUGUAUCGAUCUCCAAUUGCGACGUAAGGAGGGAGGAGAGUAAAGAUGAUAUCUCCUAAAGCAUAGUUCCUUAAAAAUGCACGGAUAAGUCGUUGUUUUGUUGCAAGUGAAAAACAAUAUUGACCUUCUAGUUGAAAAAGGAGCCUUAUAUGAUAUUCAUUCAUUCGCAUUCGGAAAUCGAUUAUUUACGUCUGGCAGAGAUGACGAGCGGACACCAUAACAGCCAAAGUCAGUUGUACAAAACCUUUCUUUUUAGUAAACUCUGUGUACAAAAACAAUGUUCUCAAUGCCCGCGUUCAUGUGUAGAGAUCCAGGUGAUACUUCAAGCAAAGUUUCAUGUUGUGUCGCGCCUUCUUAUGUUGUAAAAUAGUGGUAUUUCGGUAGCAGCGGACAGCGGCUGGAAGAACGCAUCAGGGAUCGAGAAGGCAUAACACCCUAACCAAGAUAUAUUUUUUUAAAGUAGCGUUUAUUUUCAUGACAGUCAAGAUGCGACAUGUUGUCUUUCGUAGCUUUUUACUGUAUCCGUAAGAAUCAUAGACAGUAAAAGAUAAGAAAUCCGUAAGUCGUAGCAAGGUAGCCAAUGCUUGUCAAUAGCCUACUGGUACUCGGUAGGUCCUCAAGAUGGCGGCAUGACGUAAAAGGUCACAUGACUGAAAUCUAUCUAUACUGCAGGGACAACCUUGCAGUCAUAUG
Non-coding RNA from Paramisgurnus dabryanus, 1663 nucleotides. The record is from RefSeq and is a predicted model, not a curated record. Lineage: Eukaryota; Metazoa; Chordata; Actinopteri; Cypriniformes; Cobitidae.